AUACGGAGGGUGCAAGCGUUACUCGGAAUCACUGGGCGUAAAGGACGCGUAGGCGGGUUGGCAAGUCAGAUGUGAAAUCCUACAGCUUAACUGUAGAACUGCAUUUGAAACUGCUAACCUAGAGUAUGGGAGGGGGAGAUGGAAUUAGUGGUGUAGGGGUAAAAUCCGUAGAUAUCACUAGGAAUACCGAAAGCGAAGGCGAUCUCCUGGAACAUAACUGACGCUAAGGCGUGAAAGCGGGGGGAGCAAACAGGAUUAGAUACCCUAGUAGUCC
Molecule: ribosomal RNA, 274 nt
Filed under: uncultured bacterium
Lineage: Bacteria
Description: partial 16S ribosomal RNA
Rfam family: Bacterial small subunit ribosomal RNA
Source: RNAcentral